CAGAGAUGUUCAGCGGGAAAACAAGACGCCACCCGAAUGACAAGCUCAGUUCCAUUCUCGCCGUUUUCAGUUUGUAUCCAGUCAGUAAAAUGAAUGCGAUGUUCAAAGGAAGUGCCUCACUGAGUUGUGUGGGUGCACAAGGUGACACCCACUCCUCUGAAAACGCUUCCACGCUCCGACUUCGCCGCAGUGGAAAAACCUGCCGCCUUGUGAGGAAGCAGCAGCGUGACAGUCGACGGAGGACCAACACACCUCAGAGACACUUCCAGAGAGGGGACAUACGUGAGAGGAAAGAGAACAGAUGCCUGUGCGUCGUCCUCGUGUUUGAGCCUUCCAGCGAGGAGCGAGAGGUCUCCCGCCAAGCAGCAUCUGCACCUGGUUCCGGACCGAUGACGCCAGGGGUGGAGGAGAUUCCGGUCCGGAGCAAAGUCUGAUAUUUAGAGGCUGAUGGAAGUCAAUGCGCGUAGAGCGGCCAUGCAGACGUACGGAGAUUUGUUUAUGAGAUGUAUAAAGAACAGCAAGCUCAGGUUGAAGACAGAUAUGGUGUAAAUGUGCCCAUCAACCUACUAACACAUGAGCAUCGCUGCCCGCUAAGGUGCAAAAUGCAAUGAACAGUUUCAAUCAGCACACAUUUAUGUGAAAAUGUAACAGAUUAUUAGUUUAACAUAUUAACUGAGUGCCAGUUUAUUGUAGAAAUGGUGAGAGUGUUACAUUACAGGACAGACAUUAAAAAAACACAACAAAGAGCAGUUGUUUGGAG
Molecule: long non-coding RNA, 760 nt
Organism: Gasterosteus aculeatus aculeatus (three-spined stickleback)
Lineage: Eukaryota; Metazoa; Chordata; Actinopteri; Perciformes; Gasterosteidae
Source: Ensembl